AACGUAGGAGGCGAGCGUUAUCCGGAUUUACUGGGUGUAAAGCGCGUGCAGGCGGUCGGUUAAGUUGGAUGUGAAAGCUCCUGGCUCAACUGGGAGAGGUCGUUCAAAACUAGCCGACUGGAGAAUGGUAGGGGAAGGUGGAAUUCCGGGUGUAGUGGUGAAAUGCGUAGAUAUCCGGAGGAACACCAGUGGCGAAGGCGGCCUUCUGGACCAUUUCUGACGCUCAGACGCGAAAGCUAGGGUGGCAAACGGG
This 253-nucleotide ribosomal RNA is filed under the name uncultured bacterium. RNAcentral's name for it is "partial 16S ribosomal RNA". It matches the Rfam family "Bacterial small subunit ribosomal RNA", at positions 524 to 776 of the family's 1533-position model. The record is from RNAcentral.